Transfer RNA from Zostera marina, 74 nucleotides. It matches the Rfam family "tRNA". Rfam says of the family: Transfer RNA (tRNA) molecules are approximately 80 nucleotides in length. Their secondary structure includes four short double-helical elements and three loops (D, anti-codon, and T loops). The record is from Rfam. NCBI's taxonomy places the organism in Eukaryota, Viridiplantae, Streptophyta, Magnoliopsida, Alismatales, Zosteraceae.
GGUACUGUGGUGUAGUCGGUUAUCACGUCAGUCUUACACACUGAAGGUCCCCGGUUCGAGCCCGGGCAAUACCA